GAUGAAGAACGUAGCGAAAUGCGAUAAGUAAUGUGAAUUGCAGAAUUCAGUGAAUCAUCGAAUCUUUGAACGCACCUUGCGCUCCUUGGCAUUCCGAGGAGCAUGCCUGUUUGAGUGUCAUUAAAUUCUCAAGACCUGUCUGCUUUUUUGAUAGGUAUUGGAUUUUGGGGGUUGCAGGCUGUUUCAAAUAAAUAGCCUUGCUCUCCUUGAAUGUAUUAGUGGAGAAAAGCCAUUGAACUCCAUUGGUGUGAUAAAACCUAUCAAUGCCAGGAGCAAUAUCACUACUUCUCUCUGCUGUCUAACUGUGACUGUCCGUAUUAAUUAGUAUGGAUGGGGACAACUUGACCAACUUGACCUCAAAUCAGGUAGGACUACCCGCUGAACUUAAGCAUAUCAAUAAGCGGAGGA
This 408-nucleotide unclassified non-coding RNA is filed under the name soil metagenome. RNAcentral's name for it is "partial contains 5.8S ribosomal RNA, internal transcribed spacer 2, and large subunit ribosomal RNA". The stretch from base 1 to 120 matches the Rfam family "5.8S ribosomal RNA", at positions 35 to 154 of the family's 154-position model. The record is from RNAcentral.